Molecule: ribosomal RNA, 342 nt
Filed under: uncultured bacterium
Lineage: Bacteria
Description: partial 16S ribosomal RNA
Rfam family: Bacterial small subunit ribosomal RNA
Source: RNAcentral
CCUACGGGCGGCAGCAGUGGGGGAUAUUGCACAAUGGGGGAAACCCUGAUGCAGCAACGCCGCGUGUGGGAUGACGGCUCUCGGAUUGUAAACCACCUUUUGUGGGGAAGUUAAUGACGGUAACCAAGGAGAAAGCUCCGUCUAACUACGUGCCAGCAGCCGCGGUAAUACGUAGGGAGCAAGCGUUAUCCGGAUUUACUGGGUGUAAGGGGUGCGUAGGCGGUUUUGCAAGUCAGACGUGAAAUCCAUAGGCUCAACCUGUGGACUGCGUUUGAAACUGUGGGACUAGAGAGAAGUAGAAGUAGGCGGAAUGCGCGGUGUAGCGGUGAAAUGCGUAGAGAU